AAGUCGUAACAAGGUUUCCGUAGGUGAACCUGCGGAAGGAUCAUUAAUACGUACUUUCACGUAUCACUCAAUCGUGGACUUGUCCCGCUUUUUGUGGAGAGUUGGAGGCGAAAUUUGUGGUCAUAUUUUACCAGCGUGGGGGAGGGACUAAGCUUAACGGCUUUUUUUCUCUUUGUCCUGUUCGCCGAGGGUUAAUAAAUCGAACGCCAACUUUUGAUCGGAAAGACAAGUGCAGCUUGUUCUGCAUGCAUCUCCUGGUCAGAGUUGUUCGAUUCGACUCUUUACAAAGCGUUUUUUCUUAAUCCAUGCUGGGAAUCAAUUAUUUUUACCCCAAGUACUAUUAUCAAGAACUAAUUGUGUUUUUUCUGCUUCAUUGCGGAGAAAACGCCAAAUACCGAAACUUAAGAACAACUCUUAACAACGGAUAUCUUGGUUCUC
Molecule: unclassified non-coding RNA, 438 nt
Filed under: fungal sp.
Lineage: Eukaryota; Fungi
Description: partial internal transcribed spacer region
Rfam family: Eukaryotic small subunit ribosomal RNA (bases 1-46)
Source: RNAcentral